GGCGGACGGGUGAGGAAUACAUCGGAAUCUACUCUGUCGUGGGGGAGUAACGUAGGGAAACUUACGCUAAUACCGCAUACGACCUACGGGUGAAAGCAGGGGAUCUUCGGACCUUGCGCGAUUGAAUGAGCCGAUGUCGGAUUAGCUAGUUGGCGGGGUAAAGGCCCACCAAGGCGACGAUCCGUAGCUGGUCUGAGAGGAUGAUCAGCCACACUGGAACUGAGACACGGUCCAGACUCCUACGGGAGGCAGCAGCC
This 257-nucleotide ribosomal RNA is filed under the name uncultured Stenotrophomonas sp. RNAcentral describes it as "partial 16S ribosomal RNA". It matches the Rfam family "Bacterial small subunit ribosomal RNA", at positions 97 to 355 of the family's 1533-position model. The record is from RNAcentral. Lineage: Bacteria; Pseudomonadati; Pseudomonadota; Gammaproteobacteria; Lysobacterales; Lysobacteraceae.